RNAcentral lists this ribosomal RNA (504 nucleotides) under uncultured bacterium. RNAcentral's name for it is "bacterial SSU rRNA". It matches the Rfam family "Bacterial small subunit ribosomal RNA", at positions 28 to 523 of the family's 1533-position model. The record is from RNAcentral.
GAUGAACGCUAGCGACAGGCUUAACACAUGCAAGUCGAGGGGCAGCACGGGAGUAGCAAUACAACUGGUGGCGACCGGCGCACGGGUGAGUAACGCGUAUGCAACCUACCUAUCAGAGGGGAAUAACCCGGCGAAAGUCGGACUAAUACCGCAUAAAACAGGGGCACCGCAUGGUGAUAUUUGUUAAAGAGAUUCGCUGAUAGAUGGGCAUGCGUUCCAUUAGGUAGUUGGUGAGGUAACGGCUCACCAAGCCGACGAUGGAUAGGGGAACUGAGAGGUUGGUCCCCCACACUGGUACUGAGACACGGACCAGACUCCUACGGGAGGCAGCAGUGAGGAAUAUUGGUCAAUGGGCGGGAGCCUGAACCAGCCAAGUCGCGUGAAGGAAGAAGGAUCUAUGGUUCGUAAACUUCUUUUGCAGGGGAAUAAAGUGCAGGACGUGUCCUGUUUUGUAUGUACCCUGAGAAUAAGGAUCGGCUAACUCCGUGCCAGCAGCCGCGGUAA